CCCACUUGUCUUCCGUGAGCCAUAUCUUCCUCCUCCUCCUUCCUCAAACCCAAAACAAACUCAUUUCAGCCCUCAAUUCACAAUCAUCCCCCAAAUUUCUCAUCCUACUGCACCCAUCAACCCAACCUGAGCCGGGAUGCCCCUCUAGUCCUUCAAACCCCAAAUCCCAAAAUCCAUCAUGAUUCACGUUCAAAUAACUUCCUUCUAAUUUUGCACAUUACUUCUUUUACGACAUUGUCGAGAAGACUGUCGUGUCUACCAACACAAGAUGUCAGUUUAUGCACACUUGAGUAAGAUUCAGAUCUCGACAUGAUGUCCAAGGAAGAAGAGUCAAUCUCGGCCAAGUCCUAAUUAUGGAAACUAGUACCCGCCUUAAUACCAAUACCCUCCAUAGCAAUCUUAUGCCUUAUGUUAGGAUAUAGAGUAUUAAGUCUGGCGACUAUUUGUAAUCAGUCUACCACCUUAUGGUGACUAACCUUAUGUACUUUUAGAUGAUGUAAUGCUUUGGGUUAUAAUGAAGGGUAAUAAGUCACUUUAUGGUAAAAUUUAGUAUUAUGGUA
Carya illinoinensis is the source of this 560-nucleotide long non-coding RNA. RefSeq lists it as uncharacterized. NCBI's taxonomy places the organism in Eukaryota, Viridiplantae, Streptophyta, Magnoliopsida, Fagales, Juglandaceae. The record is from RefSeq and is a predicted model, not a curated record. The transcript has 2 exons.